UAUCAAAGGAGUAAUCCGCUGUAAGAUGGGCUCGCGUCCGAUUAGAUAGUUGGUGAGGUAAUGGCUCACCAAGUCUACGAUCGGUAGCCGGACUGAGAGGUUGAUCGGCCACAUUGGGACUGAGACACGGCCCAGACUCCUACGGGAGGCAGCAGUGGGGAAUAUUGCACAAUGGGCGAAAGCCUGAUGCAGCAACGCCGCGUGAGGGAAGACGGUCUUCGGAUUGUAAACCUUUGUUAUUGGUGAAGAAACAAAUGACGGUAGCCAAUGAGGAAGCUCCGGCUAACUACGUGCCAGCAGCCGCGGUAAUACGUAGGGAGCGAGCGUUGUCCGGAAUUACUGGGUGUAAAGGGAGCGUAGGCGGGAAGGCAAGUCAGCUGUGAAAUACAUGGGCUUAACCCAUGGACUGCAGUUGAAACUGUUUUUCUUGAGUGAAGUAGAGGUAGGCGGAAUUCCGAGUGUAGCGGUGAAAUGCGUAGAUAUUCGGAGGAACACCAGUGGCGAAGGCGGCCUACUGGGCUUUAACUGACGCUGAGGCUCGAAAGUGUGGGGAGCAAACAGGAUUAGAUACCCUGGUAGUCCACACUGUAAACGAUGAUUGCUAGGUGUGGGAGGUCUGACCCCUUCCGUGCCGCAGUUAACGCAAUAAGCA
This 652-nucleotide ribosomal RNA is filed under the name uncultured bacterium. RNAcentral's name for it is "bacterial SSU rRNA". It matches the Rfam family "Bacterial small subunit ribosomal RNA", at positions 199 to 866 of the family's 1533-position model. The record is from RNAcentral.